This 72-nucleotide transfer RNA is filed under the name Capra hircus (goat). It matches the Rfam family "tRNA". Rfam says of the family: Transfer RNA (tRNA) molecules are approximately 80 nucleotides in length. Their secondary structure includes four short double-helical elements and three loops (D, anti-codon, and T loops). The record is from Rfam by way of RNAcentral. RNAcentral also lists the same sequence under 1 other name. Lineage: Eukaryota; Metazoa; Chordata; Mammalia; Artiodactyla; Bovidae.
UCCCUAGUAUCUCAGAUGGUAAAGAACCUGCCUGCAAUGUAGGGGACCUGGGUUCAUUCCCUGGGUUGGGAA